GGUGGGUUCGUAUAACGGUUAGUACCCAGGAUUUUCAUUCCUGUAAUAGGAGUUCGAUUCUCCUACCCACUA
Molecule: transfer RNA, 72 nt
Filed under: Bacteroidales bacterium
Lineage: Bacteria; Pseudomonadati; Bacteroidota; Bacteroidia; Bacteroidales
Also listed under: 3 other names
Description: tRNA-Glu
Rfam family: tRNA
About the family: Transfer RNA (tRNA) molecules are approximately 80 nucleotides in length. Their secondary structure includes four short double-helical elements and three loops (D, anti-codon, and T loops).
Source: RNAcentral